Molecule: ribosomal RNA, 383 nt
Filed under: uncultured bacterium
Lineage: Bacteria
Description: bacterial SSU rRNA
Rfam family: Bacterial small subunit ribosomal RNA
Source: RNAcentral
CGGUAAUACGUAGGGUGCGAGCGUUGUCCGGAAUUAUUGGGCGUAAAGGGCUCGUAGGCGGUUUGUCGCGUCGGGAGUGAAAACGCCGUGCUUAACACGGCGCUUGCUUUCGAUACGGGCAGACUAGAGGUAUUCAGGGGAGAACGGAAUUCCUGGUGUAGCGGUGAAAUGCGCAGAUAUCAGGAGGAACACCGGUGGCGAAGGCGGUUCUCUGGGAAUGACCUGACGCUGAGGAGCGAAAGUGUGGGGAGCGAACAGGAUUAGAUACCCUGGUAGUCCACACCGUAAACGUUGGGCGCUAGGUGUGGGGUCCAUUCCACGGAUUCCGUGCCGCAGCUAACGCAUUAAGCGCCCCGCCUGGGGAGUACGGCCGCAAGGCUAAA